UGGGGAAUUUUGGACAAUGGGCGAAAGCCUGAUCCAGCCAUGCCGCGUGUGUGAAGAAGGUCUUCGGAUUGUAAAGCACUUUAAGUUGGGAGGAAGGGCAGUAAGCGAAUACCUUGCUGUUUUGACGUUACCGACAGAAUAAGCACCGGCUAACUCUGUGCCAGCAGCCGCGGUAAUACAGAGGGUGCAAGCGUUAAUCGGAAUUACUGGGCGUAAAGCGCGCGUAGGUGGUUCGUUAAGUUGAAUGUGAAAGCCCCGGGCUCAAACUGGGAACUGCAUCCAAAACUGGCGAGCUAGAGUAGGGCAGAGGGUGGUGGAAAUUCCUGUGUAGCGGUGAAAUGCGUAGAUAUAGGAAGGAACACCAGUGGCGAAGGCGACCACCUGGGCUCAUACUGACACUGAGGUGCGAAAGCGUGGGGGGCAAACAGG
RNAcentral lists this ribosomal RNA (429 nucleotides) under Pseudomonadota bacterium. RNAcentral's name for it is "Proteobacteria bacterium partial 16S ribosomal RNA". It matches the Rfam family "Bacterial small subunit ribosomal RNA", at positions 355 to 776 of the family's 1533-position model. Lineage: Bacteria; Pseudomonadati; Pseudomonadota. The record is from RNAcentral.